Molecule: long non-coding RNA, 278 nt
Organism: Protopterus annectens (West African lungfish)
Lineage: Eukaryota; Metazoa; Chordata; Ceratodontiformes; Protopteridae
Exons: 3
Source: RefSeq, a predicted model, not a curated record
UUGACUCAACAUGGGAAACCUCACCCGGCCCGGACAUGGAAAGGAUUGACAGAUUGAUAGCUCUUUCUCGAUUCUGUGGGUGGUGGUGCAUGGCCGUUCUUAGUUGGUGGAAUGAUUUGUCUGGUUAAUUCCGAUAACGAAUGAGACUCCGCCAUGCUAACUAGUUAUGCGGCCCCGUGCGGUCGUCUCCAACUUCUUAGAGGGACAAAUGGCUUUCAGCCACACGGGAUUGAGCAAUAACAGGUCUGUGAUGCCCUUAGAUGUCCGGCAUGUCCUGU